Molecule: ribosomal RNA, 319 nt
Filed under: uncultured eukaryote
Lineage: Eukaryota
Description: partial 18S ribosomal RNA
Rfam family: Eukaryotic small subunit ribosomal RNA
Source: RNAcentral
CCCUUAGAUGUUCUGGGCAGCACGCGCGCUACAAUGGUCUUCGCAAACGGAUGCAUUCUCGAAGGAGAAUGCCAAUCUUGGAAUCUAUGCCUUGGUCGGGACAGUUGCUUGCAAUUUUUCGACUCGAACCAGGAAUUCCUUGUAAUCGUGAUUCUUCACAUCACGAUGAAUACGUCCCUGCCCUUUGUACACACCGCCCGUCGCUCCUACCGAUCGAAGAGUUAGGUGAAUUGUUUUGAUCGAUAAGAUUUGACUAUGGUCAACUCUCGUUGUGAAAUUCUGUGAAUCUGACUGUUUAGAGGAAGGAAAAGUCGUAACA